Molecule: non-coding RNA, 432 nt
Organism: Drosophila melanogaster (fruit fly)
Lineage: Eukaryota; Metazoa; Arthropoda; Insecta; Diptera; Drosophilidae
Source: Ensembl
AUAUAGGCUGACGGACUUCUCGGCUUUUUUUACCAGUAACCCCUAUAUCUAACUUUGGACUGGGCGUUACGCAGCUCGACAAUUCACGCCUAAUGAAUGGGUACCACAUAUGACCAUAAAUACGAGGCAAAGCGCUGCUGAAACUCCAGUCGAAAACGAAACCAAACCACAAAUCAAAUUAAAAUUCCAAAAAACGAUUCAUAUCACAAUGCCCGGCUUGGAGUCAUUAUUCUCGGUGGGCCGUUAGAACCCAUCUUCAUCUGGAGUACAUGAAGAGUAGAACUGCAACUGCGUUGAUUUCCCGACAAUCGAGCCGCCAUGGUAACCAAACAAAGCCAACUCUUUGGCUGCCACGCAUGACUUGACGGUUGUUGGAGCGCUUAACCCAAAUCCAAACAAUAUUUCCAGGGUGGCAAACUGGAGGUUCGAGAU